GUGCUCACUUCAGCAGCACAUAUACUAAAACUGAAACGAUACAGAGAAGAUUAGCAUGGCCCCCUCACAUGGAUGACAUGCAAAUUCGUGAAGCGUCCCAUAUUUUU
This is a small nuclear RNA of Marmota monax (woodchuck), 107 nucleotides long. NCBI's taxonomy places the organism in Eukaryota, Metazoa, Chordata, Mammalia, Rodentia, Sciuridae. The record is from RefSeq and is a predicted model, not a curated record.